ACACGUACUACAAUGGCCGGUACAAAGGGCAGACCACUCAGCGAUGAGGCGCUAAUCCCAUAAAGACCGGUCCUCAGUCCGGUAUCGCAGUCUGCAACUCGACUGCGUGAAGUUGGAAUCGCUAGUAAUCGUAGAUCAGCAUGCUACGGUGAAUACGUUCCCGGGCCUU
RNAcentral lists this ribosomal RNA (169 nucleotides) under uncultured Desulfovibrio sp. Its description in RNAcentral is "partial 16S ribosomal RNA". It matches the Rfam family "Bacterial small subunit ribosomal RNA", at positions 1218 to 1382 of the family's 1533-position model. Lineage: Bacteria; Pseudomonadati; Thermodesulfobacteriota; Desulfovibrionia; Desulfovibrionales; Desulfovibrionaceae. The record is from RNAcentral.